Molecule: ribosomal RNA, 779 nt
Filed under: uncultured Streptococcus sp.
Lineage: Bacteria; Bacillati; Bacillota; Bacilli; Lactobacillales; Streptococcaceae
Description: bacterial SSU rRNA
Rfam family: Bacterial small subunit ribosomal RNA
Source: RNAcentral
AGUAGAACGCUGAGGACUGGUGCUUGCACUGGAUCUGAAGGAGUUGCGAAGGGAAAGUAACGCGUAGGUAACCUACCUCAUAGCGGGGGAUAACUAUUGGAAACGAUAGCUAAUACCGCAUGACAAUAGGGUACACAUGUACCCUAUUUAAAAGGGGCAACUGCUUCACUAUGAGAUGGACCUGCGUUGUAUUAGCUAGUUGGUAAGGUAACGGCUUACCAAGGCGACGAUACAUAGCCGACCUGAGAGGGUGAUCGGCCACACUGGGACUGAGACACGGCCCAGACUCCUACGGGAGGCAGCAGUAGGGAAUCUUCGGCAAUGGGGGGAACCCUGACCGAGCAACGCCGCGUGAGUGAAGAAGGUUUUCGGAUCGUAAAGCUCUGUUGUUAGAGAAGAACGGUAAUGGGAGUGGAAAAUCCAUUACGUGACGGUAACUAACCAGAAAGGGACGGCUAACUACGUGCCAGCAGCCGCGGUAAUACGUAGGUCCCGAGCGUUGUCCGGAUUUAUUGGGCGUAAAGCGAGCGCAGGCGGUUUGAUAAGUCUGAAGUUAAAGGCUGUGGCUUAACCAUAGUUCGCUUUGGAAACUGUCAAACUUGAGUGCAGAAAGGGAGAGUGGAAUUCCAUGUGUAGCGGUGAAUGCGUAGAUAUAUGGGAGGACACCGGUGGCGAAGCGGCUCUCUGGUCUGUAACUGACGCUGAGGCUCGAAAGCGUGGGGAGCAACAGAUUAGAUACCCUGGUAGUCCACGUCGUAAACGAUGAGUGCUAGUGUUAG